RNAcentral lists this ribosomal RNA (449 nucleotides) under uncultured bacterium. RNAcentral describes it as "partial 16S ribosomal RNA". It matches the Rfam family "Bacterial small subunit ribosomal RNA", at positions 29 to 523 of the family's 1533-position model. The record is from RNAcentral.
AGUGAACGCUGGCGGCAGGCCUAACACAUGCAAGUCGAACGGAUCCUUCGGGAUUAGUGGCGGACGGGUGAGUAACACGUGGGAACGUGCCCUUUGGUUCGGAACAACUCAGGGAAACUUGAGCUAAUACCGGAUGUGCCCUUCGGGGGAAAGAUUUAUCGCCAUUGGAGCGGCCCGCGUCUGAUUAGCUAGUUGGUGAGGUAAAGGCUCACCAAGGCGACGAUCAGUAGCUGGUCUGAGAGGAUGAACAGCCACAUUGGGACUGAGACACGGCCCAAACUCCUACGGGAGGCAGCAGUGGGGAAUCUUGCGCAAUGGGCGAAAGCCUGACGCAGCCAUGCCGCGUGAAUGAUGAAGGUCUUAGGAUUGUAAAAUUCUUUCACCGGGGACGAUAAUGACGGUACCCGGAGAAGAAGCCCCGGCUAACUUCGUGCCAGCAGCCGCCGUAA